Molecule: long non-coding RNA, 766 nt
Organism: Cebus imitator (Panamanian white-faced capuchin)
Lineage: Eukaryota; Metazoa; Chordata; Mammalia; Primates; Cebidae
Exons: 4
Source: RefSeq, a predicted model, not a curated record
UCCGAAGUCAAGUUCCGGAAAGUGACGUUGCAAUCGUUAGGUGGAGAUAUGGUCUGUUCUGUGCUCAAAUUUGUCAUCCUCCUUAAAUGCAAAGGAGAUAGAAGCUGCAAAUACUUGUCAGAGUUUAGGGGUGAUUGGAUAGGAAUUUUAAGAAACCGUUAUUAUGUUUCAGACAGCAGUGGCCUCCCUCAUGAUGCGGGAAGGCAACGUGGGAGGGAAACCCUCGAGGGCCUGAUUCAGCUUGGCAAGUGUGAGAGGGCACCUGAUGAACUUCUUGUAGAAUUCCCUGGAGUGAGACUCAGGACAAUAUUAAAUCCAAUGAAUCAUGCAGCUUUCAGGAGGGCAGGGCGGCAUGCUGCAGAGCAGCACUGAAUGAUGGCUUGGCUUGGUGUCCCUGGUGGCAGCAGUGGCCACACAGUCACUGUGUUCUCAUUGAACAAAGACUCAGUUUUGACACGAGGACUGUGAACAUCUCCAGAACAGGAGACAUUUGGAAGAGCUCAUGCCCAUUGGUAUCUGAAACUUGGCUGCUCAUGUGAUCUUCAGAAAUACCUUGUAUCCUGCUGUGACCCUCACCAACACCAAUCACAUGGAAAAGAACCAACAAUGUGAAGAAACAUGAAUAUGGUAUUCAUUUGCAAACUGAAAAAGGAAAUAAUUGCAGCUACUAUUUACAGUAUCUGGCUUUUCAAGCUUCAUGCUACAUGCAGCUAACUCUUUAUCAAACAAUCAAUUUUGUUUAAAAUAAAUAAGUCUAUAUAUUUAA